This 2890-nucleotide ribosomal RNA is filed under the name Campylobacter coli. RNAcentral describes it as "partial 23S ribosomal RNA". It matches the Rfam family "Bacterial large subunit ribosomal RNA". The record is from RNAcentral. Lineage: Bacteria; Pseudomonadati; Campylobacterota; Epsilonproteobacteria; Campylobacterales; Campylobacteraceae.
GUAAGCUACUAAGAGCGAAUGGUGGAUGCCUUGACUGGUAAAGGCGAUGAAGGACGUACUAGACUGCGAUAAGCUACGGGGAGCUGUCAAGAAGCUUUGAUCCGUAGAUUUCCGAAUGGGGCAACCCAAUGUAUAGAGAUAUACAUUACCUAUAUAGGAGCGAACGAGGGGAAUUGAAACAUCUUAGUACCCUCAGGAAAAGAAAUCAAUAGAGAUUGCGUCAGUAGCGGCGAGCGAAAGCGCAAGAGGGCAAACCCAGUGCUUGCACUGGGGGUUGUAGGACUGCAAUGUGCAAGAGGUGAGUUUAGCAGAACAUUCUGGAAAGUAUAGCCAUAGAGGGUGAUAGUCCCGUAUGCGAAAAACAAACCUUAGCUAGCAGUAUCCUGAGUAGGGCGGGACACGAGAAAUCCUGUCUGAAGCUGGGUCGACCACGAUCCAACCCUAAAUACUAAUACCAGAUCGAUAGUGCACAAGUACCGUGAGGGAAAGGUGAAAAGAACUGAGGUGAUCAGAGUGAAAUAGAACCUGAAACCAUUUGCUUACAAUCAUUCAGAGCCCUAUGUAGCAAUACAGGGUGAUGGACUGCCUUUUGCAUAAUGAGCCUGCGAGUUGUGGUGUCUGGCAAGGUUAAGCAAACGCGAAGCCGUAGCGAAAGCGAGUCUGAAUAGGGCGCUUAGUCAGAUGCUGCAGACCCGAAACGAAGUGAUCUAUCCAUGAGCAAGUUGAAGCUAGUGUAAGAACUAGUGGAGGACUGAACCCAUAGGCGUUGAAAAGCCCCGGGAUGACUUGUGGAUAGGGGUGAAAGGCCAAUCAAACUUCGUGAUAGCUGGUUCUCUCCGAAAUAUAUUUAGGUAUAGCGUUGUGUCGUAAUAUAAGGGGGUAGAGCACUGAAUGGGCUAGGGCAUACACCAAUGUACCAAACCCUAUCAAACUCCGAAUACCUUAUAUGUAAUCACAGCAGUCAGGCGGCGAGUGAUAAAAUCCGUCGUCAAGAGGGAAACAACCCAGACUACCAGCUAAGGUCCCUAAAUCUUACUUAAGUGGAAAACGAUGUGAAGUUACUUAAACAACCAGGAGGUUGGCUUAGAAGCAGCCAUCCUUUAAAGAAAGCGUAAUAGCUCACUGGUCUAGUGAUUUUGCGCGGAAAAUAUAACGGGGCUAAAGUAAGUACCGAAGCUGUAGACUUGCGCACAACUUAGAUUAUUUAAGUUUAGAAUAUGAGAAACUAAGUUAUAUGUUUAGUUAUAUUUUUACUGAUUUUUAUAGAGUAAAGAUAGAAAUAAAACUUAGUAAAAUCAGUAAAAAUAUUCUUAGAUUAAAGUUAAGUAGUUUAAGUUGUGUGCAAGUGGUAGGAGAGCGUUCUAUUUGCGUCGAAGGUAUACCGGUAAGGAGUGCUGGAGCGAAUAGAAGUGAGCAUGCAGGCAUGAGUAGCGAUAAUUAAUGUGAGAAUCAUUAACGCCGUAAACCCAAGGUUUCCUACGCGAUGCUCGUCAUCGUAGGGUUAGUCGGGUCCUAAGUCGAGUCCGAAAGGGGUAGACGAUGGCAAAUUGGUUAAUAUUCCAAUACCAACAUUAGUGUGCGAUGGAAGGACGCUUAGGGCUAAGGGGGCUAGCGGAUGGAAGUGCUAGUCUAAGGUCGUAGGAGGUUAUACAGGCAAAUCCGUAUAACAAUACUCCGAGAACUGAAAGGCUUUUUGAAGUCUUCGGAUGGAUAGAAGAACCCCUGAUGCCGUCGAGCCAAGAAAAGUUUCUAAGUUUAGCUAAUGUUGCCCGUACCGUAAACCGACACAGGUGGGUGGGAUGAGUAUUCUAAGGCGCGUGGAAGAACUCUCUUUAAGGAACUCUGCAAAAUAGCACCGUAUCUUCGGUAUAAGGUGUGGUUCGCUUCGUAUUAGGAUUUACUCCGAAAGCGAAGAAACUUACAACAAAGAGUCCCUCCCGACUGUUUACCAAAAACACAGCACUCUGCUAACUCGUAAGAGGAUGUAUAGGGUGUGACGCCUGCCCGGUGCUCGAAGGUUAAUUGAUGGGGUUAGCAUUAGCGAAGCUCUUGAUCGAAGCCCGAGUAAACGGCGGCCGUAACUAUAACGGUCCUAAGGUAGCGAAAUUCCUUGUCGGUUAAAUACCGACCUGCAUGAAUGGCGUAACGAGAUGGGAGCUGUCUCAAAGAGGGAUCCAGUGAAAUUGUAGUGGAGGUGAAAAUUCCUCCUACCCGCGGCAAGACGGAAAGACCCCGUGGACCUUUACUACAGCUUGACACUGCUAUUUGGAUAAGAAUGUGCAGGAUAGGUGGGAGGCUUUGAGUAUAUGACGCCAGUUGUAUAUGAGCCAUUGUUGAGAUACCACUCUUUCUUAUUUGGGUAGCUAACCAGCUUGAGUUAUCCUCAAGUGGGACAAUGUCUGGUGGGUAGUUUGACUGGGGCGGUCGCCUCCCAAAUAAUAACGGAGGCUUACAAAGGUUGGCUCAGAACGGUUGGAAAUCGUUCGUAGAGUAUAAAGGUAUAAGCCAGCUUAACUGCAAGACAUACAAGUCAAGCAGAGACGAAAGUCGGUCUUAGUGAUCCGGUGGUUCUGUGUGGAAGGGCCAUCGCUCAAAGGAUAAAAGGUACCCCGGGGAUAACAGGCUGAUCUCCCCCAAGAGCUCACAUCGACGGGGAGGUUUGGCACCUCGAUGUCGGCUCAUCGCAUCCUGGGGCUGGAGCAGGUCCCAAGGGUAUGGCUGUUCGCCAUUUAAAGCGGUACGCGAGCUGGGUUCAGAACGUCGUGAGACAGUUCGGUCCCUAUCUGCCGUGGGCGUAAGAAGAUUGAAGAGAUUUGACCCUAGUACGAGAGGACCGGGUUGAACAAACCACUGGUGUAGCUGUUGUUCUGCCAAGAGCAUCGCAGCGUAG